Molecule: ribosomal RNA, 333 nt
Filed under: uncultured bacterium
Lineage: Bacteria
Description: bacterial SSU rRNA
Rfam family: Bacterial small subunit ribosomal RNA
Source: RNAcentral
GACGAACGCUGGCGGCGUGCCUCAGACAUGCAAGUCGAACGAUUAAAGCUCUCUUCGGAGAGUGCAUAAAGUGGCGCACGGGUGAGUAACACGUAAGUAAUCUACCUUUGAGUGGGGAAUAACAGUCGGAAACGGCUGCUAAUACCGCAUAAUGCAGCGGCACCGCAAGGUGACAGUUGUUAAAGGAGCAAUCCGCUUAAAGAGGAGCUUGCGGCAGAUUAGCUAGUUGGUAAGGUAAUGGCUUACCAAGGCUACGAUCUGUAACCGGUCUUAGAGGACGGUCGGUCACACUGACACUGAAUAACGGGUCAGACUCCUACGGGAGGCAGCAGU